CUUGACCGUGCCAAGUAGCAUAAUCAAUUGUCUUUUAAUUGAAGGCUUGUAUGAAUGGUUGAAUAAGAUAUUAACUAUUUUUAUUUUAUAAUUUGAAUUUUAAUUUUUAGUGAAAAUGCUAAAAUAAUUAAGUUAGACGAGAAGACCCUAUAAAUCUUUAUUAUUAAUAAAUUUUAUUUUUUUUUAUAAGAAUAUAUAAAAUUUAUAAUAAUUUAAUUGGGGUGAUUAUAAAAUUUUAUAAACUUUUAUUUUUUGUUAAAUAAUUAUAGUUAUAUUUAGUGAUCCAUUAAUAAUGAUUACAAAUUUAAGUUACUUUAGGGAUAACAGCGUAAUUAUUUUAGAAAGUUCUUAUUAAUAAAAUAGAUUGCGACCUCGAUGUUGAAUUAAGAUAAAAAUUAGGAGCG
This 404-nucleotide ribosomal RNA is filed under the name Culicoides isioloensis. RNAcentral's name for it is "partial 16S ribosomal RNA". The record is from RNAcentral. Lineage: Eukaryota; Metazoa; Arthropoda; Insecta; Diptera; Ceratopogonidae.